GACGGGGCCCGCACAAGCGGUGGAGUAUGUGGUUUAAUUCGAUGCAACGCGAAGAACCUUACCUGGUCUUGACAUCCCGGAGACCCUUAGGAAACUAGGGGGUGGCUUCCAUCUGGAAGAAUCUGGAGACAGGUGCUGCAUGGCUGUCGUCAGCUCGUGUCGUGAGAUGUUGGGUUAAGUCCCGCAACGAGCGCAACCCUUGCCUUUAGUUGCCAGCAGUUCGGCUGGGCACUCUAAAGGGACUGCCGGUGUUAAACCGGAGGAAGGUGGGGAUGACGUCAAGUCCUCAUGGCCUUUAUGACCAGGGCUACACACGUACUACAAUGGCCGAUACAAAGGGCAGCGACACUGCGAGGUGAAGCCAAUCCCGUAAAAUCGGUCUCAGUCCGGAUUGGAGUCUGCAACUCGACUCCAUGAAGUUGGAAUCGCUAGUAAUCGUGGAUCAGCAUGCCACGGUGAAUACGUUCCCGGGCCUU
This 476-nucleotide ribosomal RNA is filed under the name uncultured Desulfobulbus sp. Its description in RNAcentral is "bacterial SSU rRNA". It matches the Rfam family "Bacterial small subunit ribosomal RNA", at positions 916 to 1381 of the family's 1533-position model. The record is from RNAcentral. Lineage: Bacteria; Pseudomonadati; Thermodesulfobacteriota; Desulfobulbia; Desulfobulbales; Desulfobulbaceae.